CCUUCUUCCCUUUUGCUGAGCUGGUGCGUGCACUACAGUGGUCUGGCGGUUGGCCAUGAUACAUCAAGCAAGUUCUUCCCUCGCUGGUAACUACAAAACUGCAGACAGAGACCUGAUGCCACUUGCUAAGGUUUUAAUGGAGGAAGUUGGAAGCCCCAUAGAAGGAAGAUUCUCCGGCCUGGAAGAUGAAUCCUGAUGAUGAAAGGCUGUGUUAAAUAGAUUGGCUUCGGAUGACCACCUGCCUGAUGUAUGGAGAUAAAAAUUCCAAUUUGAACACAGUUCCAUAAUGUUUGCAGGGAGAGUAAAGCACAGGACACUUCAUACAAAGGCUUCCAGAGGGUGCUUGGGUAUCCUGACUGGGGUGACUUGGAUGUACAGAGUGCUGUUAUUAGCAGUGGUCCUGGCCCUGUCUUGAAUAAAUUUGGCAUUAAUAUUAGAAGAUGAUGGAUGAUCAGGACAGCAUUUCAAGUGAGAGGGCUGGAGCGCACUCCUGGAAAAAGGAUCACUUUGCUGAGAGUAAAGUUGGUCAAACAUUCAGUGAAGCAAUCAGCCCUCUGCCUGCCUGAGAGGGAGCAAAAUUGGUUUGAAUGGACAGUUGAGGAACCAGAAAGUGUGAAGAUGUCAGAUUGUGUAUCUAGCGACUCCUAAGUUUUUCCCACAGAAGACAGUGCCCUUGCUUCUGAGGUGUUUGGGCAUAGCCAUGGAGGGGCCAGAGUCAAUCCUGCAGCAGUGGGUGUGUCAAGCUGGAGGGAAGCAGUCUCUCUGCCACCCCAUUGCCACAAUAAGGUGACAUGACUUCUGGAUGAAGAGUCCUACAAAUUUGUGCAGAAAAGAUUAAGUUCAGAAUGUCUUGUAGAAGCAUGUGACAAGUGGGGCAACACUGAUACACACUUUGGUCUCUUCUUAAAUAUCCAAUUAAGAAACUAGACUUGCUCUGAACUUAAACUUUUGCCAUGUGUGUCUUUUAACCAGCACUAAGUAGACUUUAGAAGUAAAAUAACAGCUGUCUAACAAAUUGAAAUGUGCUAAAAUAAACUCAUCAAAAAUGA
Long non-coding RNA from Terrapene triunguis (Three-toed box turtle), 1049 nucleotides. RefSeq lists it as uncharacterized. The record is from RefSeq and is a predicted model, not a curated record. The transcript has 14 exons. Lineage: Eukaryota; Metazoa; Chordata; Testudines; Emydidae.